This is a non-coding RNA of Paramuricea clavata, 247 nucleotides long. NCBI's taxonomy places the organism in Eukaryota, Metazoa, Cnidaria, Anthozoa, Malacalcyonacea, Plexauridae. The record is from the annotation of a GenBank genome assembly.
CUGUCAUAUUAUAUAUUUCAGGUCGGCUAUAUUGCGAGUCACAACACAGAACCCCAGGUUAAUAGUUGUUUAUAUUUUAGCCCGCAUAGCAUUGGGCCGUGCGCGCCGGCUCUUGGGGGUUACUAUUAAAAAUAGAAGGAAGGCGACAGCGGCCCAAAAUAGGUCAGACCGUAAACUCUGAAAACUGAAAAGAACGAUGCUUUAAUCAAAGAGCUUAAAUUCGCUUCAAAAUACGCGAAGGAACGAC